RNAcentral lists this ribosomal RNA (301 nucleotides) under uncultured bacterium. RNAcentral describes it as "partial 16S ribosomal RNA". It matches the Rfam family "Bacterial small subunit ribosomal RNA", at positions 509 to 807 of the family's 1533-position model. The record is from RNAcentral.
CAGUCGCCGCGGGAAUACGAAGGGUGCAAGCGUUACUCGGAAUUACAGGGCGUAAAGCGUGCGUAGGUGGUGGUUUAAGUCCGUUGUGAAAGCCCUGGGUUCAACCUGGGAAUUGCAGUGGAUACUGGGUCACUAGAGUGUGGUAGAGGAUAGUGGAAUUUCCGGUGUAGCAGUGAAAUGCGUAGAGAUCGGAAGGAGCAUCUGUGGCGAAGGUGACUAUCUGGGCCAACACUGACACUGAGGCACGAAAGCGUGGGGAGCAAACAGGAUUAGAUACCCGAGUAGUCCCUGUCUCUUAUAC